AGGUUCAAAUGAUAAUCGUAAAAAUAUGUGCUUCCUAUACUCUUUUUGUAAUGAAAAAGGACCUAACAAUGUCCAUAAUAUUGUUGCUCGAGUCUGUAUUUGUUCCUAUUUGCGGCUAAUGCCUCUGAUAUUAUAAUUUGGGGUUUCUGGAAGAGAGCUAAAUGUAAUUUGUGAUGAUACAAAGCCUGCUAAUGUCUAGUCUACACUGAACUUGUCAAUUGUAACUUCCGCUCUGUUCAGAUUUUCCUUUUUCUUAAUAGGCGCUUGAUGUGGGAAAAAGAGUUCGACACAAGCUAUGUAGGCUUCAGUAAAGACGGUGCACAAUUGCUAGCGGAUAAUACCGACAUCAAACUUGUGUGAGUCGAUUAUUUAUCUGCUGCUGCCUAUGAUGAUCUGAUUUCUUCUCACAAUGUUUUUCUUGAAGGCAAGUAAGCAAAUCAAUCCAUCAAAUGUUAUAAUUUGUCUCGACAUCACUUAAUUAUUUUGAAAUUCUGUCAGGAGAUUAUCCUGGUCGAAGGUCUCAAGUUGGAUAACAUUGAAGCUGUAGCAUAUACUGUCAAUUGCUUGGCGCUGAGGGGUCUCCAGGAAGACGAAUACUUGUCAAGUAAUACACUCUUACAACUACAGCUCACAAGCCUUUUACUGGAGAUAGAUGCUGCAACAGAUACUUCUUGAAGCUUGUUUUAAGGAAUUGGCUUCAUGCAUAUAGGGGGAUUGUUAACUUUCAUGACUUAUCUCUCACCUUCUUAAAUAAAUUCAUGAAUGAUUACAUAGCAUUUAUGAACCUGAUUUUAAAUCUUUUGAUGCAAUAUUUAUAUUUUAAAUUCAUGAAUUAUUACAUAGCAUCUUUGAUAAUUUGAUAUCGUUGUUCACAACUGUGAUACUGCUAUUUGUGGUAGUGCUAC
Long non-coding RNA from Daucus carota subsp. sativus, 905 nucleotides. RefSeq lists it as uncharacterized. The transcript has 3 exons. Lineage: Eukaryota; Viridiplantae; Streptophyta; Magnoliopsida; Apiales; Apiaceae. The record is from RefSeq and is a predicted model, not a curated record.